Molecule: ribosomal RNA, 336 nt
Filed under: Triticum aestivum (bread wheat)
Lineage: Eukaryota; Viridiplantae; Streptophyta; Magnoliopsida; Poales; Poaceae
Description: partial small subunit ribosomal RNA
Source: RNAcentral
AUGUGGCAUAAAGCACCAUGUUCAAGUAGGGAUUACAGUGGGGUGCGGGAGAGUGGACCGCGUAAAAGAGAUGAGGAUGGUGAUGAUGGUGGUGAUGUUGAUGAAGACGAUCACCGUGGCGAUGAUUCCCCUCCCGAUGGCACUCCUGCGCCACCGAGAGAGAGGAGGAGAGGUUCUCCCCCUUGUGCUUCCUCCUCCAUGCCCCCCCUAGAUGGGGAGAGGUUCUCCCUCUGGUCCUUGGCCUUCAUGGUGAUGAUGGCCCCUUCGGGAUCCUCCUCCAUGGCCUCCGGUGAUGAUGGCCCCCUCCGGCAGGGUGCCAGAGAGGGCCUAGAUUGA